GACGAACGCUGGCGGCGUGCUUAACACAUGCAAGUCGAACGGAAAGGCCCUGCUUUUGUGGGGUGCUCGAGUGGCGAACGGGUGAGUAACACGUGAGUAACCUGCCCUUGACUUUGGUAUAACUUCAGGAAACUGGGGCUAAUACCGGAUAGGAGCUCCUGCUGCAUGGUGGGCGUUGGAAAGUUUCGGCGGUUGGGGAUGGACUCGCGGCUUAUCAGCUUGUUGGUGGGGUAGUGGCUUACCAAGGCUUUGACGGGUAGCCGGCCUGAGAGGGUGACCGGCCACAUUGGGACUGAGAUACGGCCCAGACUCCUACGGGAGGCAGCAGUGGGGAAUAUUGCACAAUGGGCGGAAGCCUGAGGCAGCAACGCCGCGUGCGGGAUGACGGCCUUCGGGUUGUAAACCGCUUUCGCCUGUGACGAAGCGUGAGUGACGGUAAUGGGUAAAGAAGCACCGGCUAACUACGUG
Molecule: ribosomal RNA, 468 nt
Filed under: uncultured bacterium
Lineage: Bacteria
Description: partial 16S ribosomal RNA
Rfam family: Bacterial small subunit ribosomal RNA
Source: RNAcentral